RNAcentral lists this ribosomal RNA (328 nucleotides) under uncultured Bacteroidota bacterium. RNAcentral's name for it is "bacterial SSU rRNA". It matches the Rfam family "Bacterial small subunit ribosomal RNA", at positions 28 to 351 of the family's 1533-position model. Lineage: Bacteria; Pseudomonadati; Bacteroidota. The record is from RNAcentral.
GAUGAACGCUAGCGGGAGGCUUAACACAUGCAAGUCGAGGGGCAGCACGGGGUAGCAAUACUCUGGUGGCGACCGGCGCACGGGUGAGUAACACGUAUGCAACCUACCCUGUACAGGGGGAUAACCCGGAGAAAUUCGGACUAAUAUCCCAUAAUGAUAUUGAAAGGCAUCUUUUGAUAUUUAAAGCUCAGGCGGUACGGGAUGGGCAUGCGGAACAUUAGCUAGUUGGCAGGGUAACGGCCUACCAAGGCUGCGAUGUUUAGGGGACCUGAGAGGGUGAACCCCCACACUGGUACUGAGACACGGACCAGACUCCUACGGGAGGCAG